UCUGCCUCUGUGGUGGAUAGUGGAGUGUUUCCUAUGUGGUAUUGGUGUGUUGGAUAUCCCUUCACUGGUAGCCUGGUCACAUACACUCCCAGGUCUUUCUCUGCCUCUGUGGUGGAUAGUGGAGUGUUUCCCAUGUGGUAUUGGUGUGCUGGAUAUCCCUUCACUGGUAGCCUGGUCACAUACACUCCCAGGUCUUUCUCUGCCUCUGUGGUGGAUAGUGGAGUGUUUCCCAUGUGGUAUUGGUGUGCUGGAUAUCCCUUCACUGGAAGCCUGGUAACAUACACUCCCAGGUCUUUCUCUGCCUCUGUGGUGGAUAGUGGAGUGUUUCCCAUGUGGUAUUGGUGUGCUGGAUAUCCCUUCACUGGUAGCCUGGUAGCAUACACUCCCAGGUCUUUCUCUGCCUCUGUGGUGGAUAGUGGAGUGUUUCCCAUGUGGUAUUGGUGUGCUGGAUAUCCCUUCACUGGUAGCCUGGUAGCAUACACUCCCAGGUCUUUCUCUGCCUCUGUGGUGGAUAGUGGAGUGUUUCCCAUGUGGUAUUGGUGUGCUGGAUAUCCCUUCACUGGUAGCCUGGUAACACACAUUCCCAGGUCUUUCUCUGCCUCUGUGGUGGAUAGUGGAGUGUUUCCCAUGUGGUAUUGGUGUGCUGGAUAUCCCUUCACUGGUAGCCUGGUCACAUACACUCCCAGGUCUUUCUCUGCCUCUGUGGUGGAUAGUGGAGUGUUUCCCAUGUGGUAUUGGUGUGCUGGAUAUCCUUUCACUGGUAGUCUGAUAACAAACACUCCCAGGUCUUUCUCUGCCUUUGUGGUGGAUAGUGGAGUGUUUCCCAAGUGGUAUUGGUGUGCUGGAUAUCCCUU
This is a long non-coding RNA of Eriocheir sinensis (Chinese mitten crab), 854 nucleotides long. RefSeq lists it as uncharacterized. The record is from RefSeq and is a predicted model, not a curated record. The transcript has 4 exons. Lineage: Eukaryota; Metazoa; Arthropoda; Malacostraca; Decapoda; Varunidae.